UGGGACCGAAAACAAAAGAAGGGUGUUGAAAUGCAAAUAGAUAACUCUGGGUCCCAGUCCCUGACUGCAAAAGGAAGCCAAAACUGACAACAACGUCUCCUUCUCUACGGAGGUUUGUAGAAAGGCUGUACAAAAAUCUCACAAGAUGUAUUUCUUCUCGUGGACUGGAGUCCCAAGGUGCUUAAGAGCUCUUCAAUUUGUUAAUGGAAAGAAACACCAUUUACACCGGAUGGCUACAAAGCAACCUUAUUCUGAUCUUUUCUCAGAAUAGCAGUCUGUAGGCUGUCACCUAAAGUGUCCUGUUUUCAGUGCUGCACCUGCUCUGAGCUUCAUCUUUUUACGAAGACGUCAUGGUGUGCUAUCUGUACUGGGAAACUUUCCCCAGCAUCAGCCAUCUCCUGAAGAUAACAUUGUCUGCUAGAGAUUGUCAUGUAUGUGGAUUGAAUCUCUUUAUCAGGGAGAUUUGAGACAGGAGAAGAGAAGACACGAAGGAGGGAAGGAAGUGAUGUGACCACAGAGGCAGCGAUUGGAGUGAUGUAGUCACAAGCCAAGGAGCACCAACAGCCACCAGGAGCUGGAAGAGCCCAAGAGUAUAUACUAAUACCUGGAUUUGGGACUUGGGACUUCUGGCAGAAGAGCACCACCUUCUUAUGCAUCUUCACCUCCUCUGCUGUUGAAAACUUGUGCUCCUUCUUAUCAUCAUGUCAUUGAACACCUUUUUUUUUC
RNAcentral lists this long non-coding RNA (726 nucleotides) under Homo sapiens (human). Its description in RNAcentral is "non-protein coding LINC00862:2". Lineage: Eukaryota; Metazoa; Chordata; Mammalia; Primates; Hominidae. The record is from RNAcentral.